Parelaphostrongylus tenuis is the source of this 71-nucleotide non-coding RNA. The record is from the annotation of a GenBank genome assembly. Lineage: Eukaryota; Metazoa; Nematoda; Chromadorea; Rhabditida; Metastrongylidae.
ACCUCGGUGGUGUAGUGGUACCAAGUGUCCCCGGCAUGGAUGAAACGCGGCUUCAACUCCCGUCCGAGGUC